AAUUGUGGACAAGGGGGGAAACCCUGCUCCAGCCACCCAGCGUGUAGGAUGAUGGUCUUUGCGUUGUAAACUACUUGUGGCACAGAAGAAAAGGUAUCUCCUAAUACGAGAUACUGCUGACGGUAUCUGCUGAAUAAGCACCGGCUGACGACGUGCCAGCAGCCGCGGUAAUACGUAGGGUGCAAGCGUUAACAGGAAUUACGGGGCGUAAAGCGUGUGUAGGCGGUUCGGAAAGAAAGAUGUGAAAUCCCAGGGCUAAACCUUGGAACUGCAUUUUUAACUGCCGAGCUAGAGUAUGUCAGAGGGGGGUAGAAUUCCACGUGUAGCAGUGAAAUGCGUAGAUAUGUGGAGGAAUACCGAUGGCGAAGGCAGCCCCCUGGGAUAAUACUGACGCUCAGACACGAAAGCGUGGGGAGCAAACAG
Molecule: ribosomal RNA, 423 nt
Filed under: uncultured bacterium
Lineage: Bacteria
Description: partial 16S ribosomal RNA
Rfam family: Bacterial small subunit ribosomal RNA
Source: RNAcentral